Long non-coding RNA from Triticum dicoccoides, 2738 nucleotides. RefSeq lists it as uncharacterized. The record is from RefSeq and is a predicted model, not a curated record. The transcript is spliced from 5 exons. NCBI's taxonomy places the organism in Eukaryota, Viridiplantae, Streptophyta, Magnoliopsida, Poales, Poaceae.
CCCUAGCCCCGCGCUUGCACGCUCCCUGUCGCGCCACCGCCCCCGCCUUUGCUCGUCUCGUGCCGUCGGGUCGUUUCCUCCUUCCCAGAGGACGGGGAGCCGGAGCUGCCCCCGCGCGUCGUCGAUCAUCUCCUCGCUGGCUGGACACCGUCGACCACGAAGCCGGUCUUCUCUAAGCGCGCGCCGCCGUAUGGGUCGCCAAGAUGCCGAGACCGAGGCGGAGCUCCAGGCCAUCGAGGCCGCGUACGCCGCUGAGUCUGCGAGGCGUCGCCACCUCCCCGACUGGUCCAAGACGCCAGCCCCCCGCCCCCGUCCGCCCACGGCCCAACCCAGUCCCCGCGACCGCGUGUGCCUCCUCGCCGCCGUGGGUGCUCUCUCCCCCACUUGCCAAGGACAACUUGGAACAGCUUGUGUGUGCCUCUCAGAUUCCUACAGAAGAAAGGAUACCUUUUCUUUUUUAUUGGAUGGACAACAACAUAACCACAACAAUAGAUCUAUCAGUUCUGCGCCGGUUGGACGGUGUUCAGGCGCAACCCCGGCACCCACUGAGUACUGCCUCUGCUACAACCUCCCUCGGCGAGCUCCAUCUUCCUCCCGCUCCUCUGCUUCGGCUACUAUAUGGGGCGAAAUAAGGAUUCCAGUCACUCUCCCGCUUCCUCAGCGAUUUGGGCUUCCUGGCCGUUGGAUCAAAGCGCUUGAUGCGAUCUGAGCCGUCGGAUCGAGCCCUAGAAUGACCUCGUCCGUCGAAUAAAAAAUAGUUACUGCUGCAAUGAACAGUUUCACCCCGUUCGUGCCACCGCGCGUAAAUAUCCUGCCCUGCCGGGGGCAUUUUCGUCCUUUCACUCGCACGUGGUAUAAAAGGCGCCGGCCCGGACCUAGCCGCUCUCCAGCCCGCACUCGCGCCCCCUCUCUCGUCCUCGCCGCCCCGCCCGCAUCGCCCCGCCCAUUGGAUCAAAAAGAGACACUUAGCUGGCGCAUGGCUAUGAUGAUCGGUUAUGGCUGUUAUAAGCAUGCUCUCUAGCAAUCGAGGCACUUGUGGGUAUUAAGUUCGAUCUUCCCUUGUUUCUUUAAGCCAUUCUGAUCAUGUGCUUAUUUUAGUGGCUCUACCCUUGGAUGGUCAUUUCUGAUGAGUGAUAACCAGGGCAGUUUCACCCUUGUGAGAACACAUUGAUCUGGCGAUGGAGACACUAGGGGAAGGGUCAUGAUCGAGCAAAGGCGAAUCUGAGCCCAUGUGUGUGCUGGCUCCUGGUUAGUCUGUGCGUCGAUGAGGUGAGGGAGGCCAUUCUUUCUAGGGCGAUGAUGAUUAACCGUGACUGAAAUAAGUGUGCAUUUGAGCAAUCGAGGCACCUGUGGGUAUCGAGUUGGAUCCUCCCUCUUGUUUCUCGAAUCCUUUUUGAUCAGGUGAUACUUAUUGUUCUGUCCUUGGAUGGCCACUCUUGUUGAGAGAUAACCAGGGCAGCUCCAUUGUAUAAACAGAUUGAUCUGGUGAUAAGAGAUGACGGGAGUAGGUUAUGUGAUCGAGGAAAGGUGAAUCUGAGCCCACCACACAAUGAACCCUUUAUUUGUAUUUAAAGGUGUCGCUUAUUUAUGCUCCAGUGUUUAUAGCCGUCUUGUAUACAGAUUUCUUCUCUCUCAUACCUUUAUUGCAUAUAAUUUGUUCUUGAUAUUUAUUGUUUGUUGUUGGUCCUUGAUUUAAUCUGGUUAAAAGUAGGUUGAACUUUAUUAUGCUAGACAGACUCGCUCCUAGUAUUUAUAAUUGUCUUAUGUAAUGAUUUCACUGUUGUACUGUUAGCAUCUUGAUGUGAUAAUUUGGUUACUUAGUUUGUUUUUGAUUCAAUUGGUCCCUUAGUUACUUCCUCGGUCCACAUGGCUGCGACCGAAUAGAUUUUCUGUAUUUUUGUAUAUUUUGCUCAAAUCCCAUGCACCCUUUAUGCCUUUUCUAUACAUUUUUAAAAUUCUGAGCUUCAUGAAAGUGGAACAUUUCUGUUCUCUUGUUGGUUAUAAAGAUAGCAGUUCGCAGGUUGUUUUUAUUCUUACUAUAAUUUUGUAAUUGCUUUUCCAUGUAUCUUUUAAGCACUGAAGGGCACAACUAAUUUGUUGUUGGUUUCUUUGUGGUGUAUCGAUGUCUAAACCAUGUAUGGGCCUGACACCGGCGGUACCUGAAUACACCGCCCUGGUUACUAUCGACCCUUCCCGACCAACAUGGGUUGCUGUGCCACAUGACCAACUCCACUUUGCCCUCAAGUUAUGUUUUUAUGUUAUGUUCAGCACAACGACUGCCCCGAAUAUUCAGCAAAAUGUCGCACCCUCGUGCCACAAGGCUACUGAUCUCCUUGCUUCCAGGUCAAGGAAGGAAACCAUGUCAUCAUUGUCCAGUGCAGGUUGCCGCCGGAACCAGAUGGGGUCUCCAGCCAGCCUGCCAUGUGGCUUGUAGUCCUGAUUGUUGGCAGUUAUCCUUACAUAUGUAUAAGGGUUUACUUUGUUAGUAUGACAAAGUGAAGACAGAACUGAUGUAUUGAAUUACUAAUUGAGUGGUUUUGAUGAGAACUGAAACCUUUUGCUUUCAAGGUUGGACAUUGAUAUUUAAUAGAGAAAUUCAGUUCAUAUGGAGCAAAGCAAAGGCAUGUAAUACCUUGCAUUGACAGUGAUUAUUUUCCCAUUGUGGUACUUCAAAUCUGAUGAAGAAUUUAUUUCAUGACUGAGACAUGGGAUUUGGAGAAUCUCAGUUAUGGCAUGUU